GGAGAGGUGUCCGAGUGGUUGAAGGAGCACGCCUGGAAAGUGUGUAUACGCUAACCGCGUAUCGAGGGUUCGAAUCCCUCCCUCUCCGCCA
Molecule: transfer RNA, 91 nt
Filed under: Gammaproteobacteria bacterium
Lineage: Bacteria; Pseudomonadati; Pseudomonadota; Gammaproteobacteria
Also listed under: 1 other name
Description: tRNA-Ser
Rfam family: tRNA
About the family: Transfer RNA (tRNA) molecules are approximately 80 nucleotides in length. Their secondary structure includes four short double-helical elements and three loops (D, anti-codon, and T loops).
Source: RNAcentral